This 337-nucleotide ribosomal RNA is filed under the name uncultured bacterium. RNAcentral's name for it is "bacterial SSU rRNA". It matches the Rfam family "Bacterial small subunit ribosomal RNA", at positions 143 to 507 of the family's 1533-position model. The record is from RNAcentral.
AUAAGCCACCGAAAGGUGGUCUAAUACCUUAUAGUAUCCAUCUCGUAUGGAUUAAAGCUUUAUGCGCUUUGGGAGGGGCCUGCGUUUGAUUAGCUAGUUGGUGAGGUAAAAGCUCACCAAGGCGACGAUCAAUAGCUGGUUUGAGAGGAUGACCAGCCACACUGGGACUGAGAUACGGCCCAGACUCCUACGGGAGGCAGCAGUAAGGAAUCUUCCACAAUGGGGCAACCCUGAUGGAGCAAUACCGCGUGCAGGAUGAAGCGUUUCGGCGUGUAAACUGCUUUUAUCACCGAAGAUUAUGACUGUAGGUGAAGAAUAAGGACCGGCUAACUACGUG